This 266-nucleotide ribosomal RNA is filed under the name uncultured Staphylococcus sp. RNAcentral's name for it is "partial 16S ribosomal RNA". It matches the Rfam family "Bacterial small subunit ribosomal RNA", at positions 96 to 354 of the family's 1533-position model. Lineage: Bacteria; Bacillati; Bacillota; Bacilli; Caryophanales; Staphylococcaceae. The record is from RNAcentral.
CGGCGGACGGGUGAGUAACACGUGGAUAACCUACCUAUAAUACUGGGAUAACUUCGGGAAACCGGAGCUAAUACCGGAUAAUAUAUUGAACCGCAUGGUUCAAUAGUGAAAGACGGUUUUGCUGUCACUUAUAGAUGGAUCCGCGCCGCAUUAGCUAGUUGGUAAGGUAACGGCUUACCAAGGCAACGAUGCGUANCCGACCUGAGAGGGUGAUCGGCCACACUGGAACUGAGACACGGUCCAGACUCCUACGGGGGGCAGCAGGG